RNAcentral lists this ribosomal RNA (392 nucleotides) under uncultured bacterium. RNAcentral's name for it is "bacterial SSU rRNA". It matches the Rfam family "Bacterial small subunit ribosomal RNA", at positions 9 to 407 of the family's 1533-position model. The record is from RNAcentral.
GAGUUUGAUCAUGGCUCAGGACUAACGCUGGCGGCGUGCCUAACACAUGCAAGUCGAACGAGAGUAGCAAUACUCUAGUGGCAGACGGGUGAGUAACACGUGGUCAACCUACCUCUAUGUGGGGGAUAACUAGCCGAAAGGUUAGCUAAUACCGCAUACGAUCGUCGAGCGGCAUCGCUUGACGAUGAAAGGAGCAAUCCGCAGAGAGACGGGACCGCGUCCCAUUAGCUAGUUGGUGGGGUAAUGGCCUACCAAGGCGACGAUGGGUAGCUGGCUUGAGAGAGCGACCAGCCACACCUGGGACUGAGACACGGCCCAGACUCCUACGGGAGGCAGCAGUGAGGAAUUUUCCGCAAUGGGCGAAAGCCUGACGGAGCGACGCCGCGUGUGGG